This 301-nucleotide ribosomal RNA is filed under the name uncultured bacterium. RNAcentral describes it as "partial 16S ribosomal RNA". It matches the Rfam family "Bacterial small subunit ribosomal RNA", at positions 509 to 807 of the family's 1533-position model. The record is from RNAcentral.
CAGUAGCCGCGGUAAUGCGAAGGGUGCAAGCGUUACUCGGAAUUACUGGGCGUAAAGCGUGCGUAGGUGGUGGUUUAAGUCCGUUGUGAAAGCCCUGGGCUCAACCUGGGAAUUGCAGUGGAUACUGGGUCACUAGAGCGUGGUAGAGGAUAGUGGAAUUUCCGGUGUAGCAGUGAAAUGCGUAGAUAUGCGGAGGAACACCGAUGGCGAAGGCAGCCCCCUGGGCCAACACUGACGCUCAUGCACGAAAGCGUGGGGAGCAAACAGGAUUAGAUACCCCAGUAGUCCCUGUCUCUUAUAC